Molecule: ribosomal RNA, 500 nt
Filed under: uncultured bacterium
Lineage: Bacteria
Description: partial 16S ribosomal RNA
Rfam family: Bacterial small subunit ribosomal RNA
Source: RNAcentral
AUUGAACGCUGGCGGCAUGCCUUACACAUGCAAGUCGAACGGCAGCACGGGAGCAAUCCUGGUGGCGAGUGGCGAACGGGUGAGUAAUAUAUCGGAACGUGCCCAGUCGUGGGGGAUAACGUAGCGAAAGCUACGCUAAUACCGCAUACGAUCUAUGGAUGAAAGCGGGGGAUCGCAAGACCUCGCGCGAUUGGAGCGGCCGAUAUCAGAUUAGGUAGUUGGUGAGGUAAAGGCUCACCAAGCCGACGAUCUGUAGCUGGUCUGAGAGGACGGCCAGCCACACUGGGACUGAGACACGGCGCAGACUCCUACGGGAGGCAGCAGUGGGGAAUUUUGGACAAUGGGCGCAAGCCUGAUCCAGCAAUGCCGCGUGCAGGAUGAAGGCCUUCGGGUUGUAAACUGCUUUUGUACGGAACGAAACGGCGAGCUCUAAUACAGCUUGCUAAUGACGGUACCGUAAGAAUAAGCACCGGCUAACUACGUGCCAGCCGCCGCAGUAA